Molecule: ribosomal RNA, 468 nt
Filed under: uncultured bacterium
Lineage: Bacteria
Description: partial 16S ribosomal RNA
Rfam family: Bacterial small subunit ribosomal RNA
Source: RNAcentral
GACGAACGCUGGCGGCGUGCUUAACACAUGCAAGUCGAACGGAAAGGCCCUGCUUUUGUGGGGUGCUCGAGUGGCGAACGGGUGAGUAACACUUGGGUUACCUGCCCUUGACUUUGGGAUAACUUCAGGAAACUGGGGCUAAUACCGGAUAGGAUCUCCUGCUGCAUGGUGGGGGUUGGAAAGUUUCGGCGGUUGGGGAUGGACUCGCGGCUUAGCAGAUUGUUGGUGGGGUAGUGGCUUACCAAGGCUUUGACGGGUAGCCGGCCUGAGGGGGUGACCGGCCCAAUUAGGCCUGAGAUACGGCACAGACCACUCCGGGAGGCAAGGGUGGAGAAUAGUGUACAAUGGGCGGAAGCAUGACGCAGCACAGCCGCGUGCGGGAUGACGUCCUUCGGGUUGUAAACCGAUUUCGCCUGUGCCGAAGCGUGAGUGACGGUAACGGGUAAAGAAGCACCGGCUAACUACGUG